This 480-nucleotide ribosomal RNA is filed under the name uncultured Alphaproteobacteria bacterium. Its description in RNAcentral is "bacterial SSU rRNA". It matches the Rfam family "Bacterial small subunit ribosomal RNA", at positions 9 to 524 of the family's 1533-position model. Lineage: Bacteria; Pseudomonadati; Pseudomonadota; Alphaproteobacteria. The record is from RNAcentral.
GAGUUUGAUCGUGGCUCAGAACGAACGCUGGCGGCAUGCCUAACACAUGCAAGUCGAACGUGAUCCGGGGCUUGCUCCGGUGAAAGUGGCGGACGGGUGAGUAACGCGUGGGAACCUGCCCAGUGGUCGGGGAUAACUGCGGGAAACUGCAGCUAAAUACCCGGUAAGCCCUAUGGGGGAAAGAUUUAUCGCCAUUGGAGGGGCCCGCGUCGGAUUAGGUAGUUGGUGGGGUAAAGGCCUACCAAGCCUACGAUCCGUAGCUGGUCUGAGAGGAUGAUCAGCCACACUGGGACUGAGAUACGGCCCAGACUCCUACGGGAGGCAGCAGUGGGGAAUAUUGGACAAUGGGCGCAAGCCUGAUCCAGCAAUGCCGCGUGAGUGAAGAAGGCCUUAGGGUUGUAAAGCUCUUUCGGCGGGGACGAUGAUGACGGUACCCGCAGAAGAAGCCCCGGCUAACUCCGUGCCAGCCGCCGCAGUAAG